This 550-nucleotide ribosomal RNA is filed under the name uncultured bacterium. RNAcentral's name for it is "bacterial SSU rRNA". It matches the Rfam family "Bacterial small subunit ribosomal RNA", at positions 511 to 1059 of the family's 1533-position model. The record is from RNAcentral.
GCAGCCGCGGUAAUACGAAGGGACCUAGCGUAGUUCGGAAUUACUGGGCGUAAAGCGCGCGUAGGCCGUUGAGUUAGUUAAUUGUGAAAUCCCAAAGCUUAACUUUGGAACUGCAAUUAAAACUGCUCGACUAGAGUUUGAUAGAGGAAAGCGGAAUACAUAGUGUAGAGGUGAAAUUCGUAGAUAUUAUGUAGAACACCAGUUGCGAAGGCGGCUUUCUGGACCAACACUGACGCUGAGGCGCGAAAGUAUGGGUAGCAAAGAGGAUUAGAUACCCUCGUAGUCCAUACCAUAAACGAUGAUUGCUAGAUGUUGGAAAUUUAUUUUCAGUAUCGCAGCUAACGUAUUAAGCAAUCCGCCUGGGGAGUACGACCGCAAGGUUAAAACUCAAAUGAAUUGACGGGGACCCGCACAAGCGGUGGAGCAUGUGGUUUAAUUCGAAGAUACGCGCAGAACCUUACCAACCCUUGACAUGUCUGUCGCGAGUUUAGGAAACUAGACUUUUCGGUUCGGCCGGACAGAACACAGGUGCUGCAUGGCUGUCGUCAGC